This is a long non-coding RNA of Brassica napus (rape), 2103 nucleotides long. RefSeq lists it as uncharacterized. NCBI's taxonomy places the organism in Eukaryota, Viridiplantae, Streptophyta, Magnoliopsida, Brassicales, Brassicaceae. The record is from RefSeq and is a predicted model, not a curated record. The transcript has 2 exons.
CUGAGAUGCUUCCUCUUAUAAUUUGGGAUCAACGUUUUACAUGCGAGAUCGAAAUGAGAUAUCAGACCUCGCAAUGGUUGGGAAAUUUCUUACAAGUUACUUACCUCUUGGAUGAUAUCUUGAUACUUUGCAAAGCUGUCUGAAGCAGAGUGGAGUUUUGCGUUAAUGAUAUGAUCAGCAAGCAAGAAUACUUAAUUAAACUAGAUAAUAACCCGCGCCUUGCGCGGGAUGUGAUUAUUAGUUUCGUUAUCUAUCUAUAUAUAUAAAAAAAUGUUCGUAUCUCUCCUAUUGAAACACGUCAGCGCCAGGUCAGAAAGUCGAGUCAUAUAGUCUCGACACGUGUCCUCUUUCUAAAUGCUCCGUUUCAUUUAAAUCAGAGCGUGAUCGUAUGGGCUUUACAUGUUAACAGACCGUAAUGUUAUUUUAUUAGCCCAGUCCGACAAGGUUAACAUGUAUGAAUAUCAAAAUGCAACGUUUUUGCUAUUAGAGUUAACCCAUCUCACAUUCACCGUUGCAGACGAAAACUCGAUCUUGGGUUCCGACUGUGAUGUUUCACCUUCUUCUUUAUCAUUCCGUCAGAUACACGAUCCUGAUCAUCUUCCCGUUUGAGAGAAACUGGAAACGUUUUCUGGUUACGCUCAAGCGAAGAGUCGUCUACAAUUGAGGCAUCAACUAUUGACGGUCUAUCAUUCAUUGCUUUCCCAUUUACUGCGAUCAUCAUAAUCUUCAGCUAUAAAAAGGUAUGUUUUGCCCCAUGAAAUUCAUCCGUUCUUUCUUCUCAUUCAUAAGCUUUUUAAGAAAUAUACCUUUGAAAAUGGCUAACCCCUCUGUCCUCUUUGCCGAUUGAAAGCCGGCGGUUGUCCCUCCACCGUCGAUGUCCGCCUGCUUAGUUUUUGGGAAAUCAGGAGUGUGAAGUGCGGCGGCGAGCUAAUGGGGUUCACAUGCUCCUCCUCGAAGCUCAGGUAAAUCCACCGUCAAAAUCAUUAUGUAUUUGGGAGAUGAUAAUUGUUUUGUUUGUUGAUUAUAUUUCGCGUUCUUCAUGUAUUGAUUAUUAUACUUUUAAACCUAACUUUUCUUAUAAUGGAGAUCCAUUUGUUCAUGUCUUCAUUAUAAAAAAAAAACAAUUUCAGAAGCUUCUGUUAUCUUAAAAUAAUUGGACAAUGAUUAUUGUUUUGUCUGUUGAUUCUGUUUCGCUUUAUUCAUAAAUUCAUUAUCAAGCUUUUAAUCCAAACAUUCAGUUCGAUUGGGAUCCAUUUGUUUAUUUCUUGAUUAUCAGAAAAUCUUCCUCGAAGUUUCUUUUAUAUAGUUGAUGAUGAAAUUGGCGAUCUUUAUAUGGCUUAAAACAUUAUUUUGAGGAGUUAGAGGAAGAGUCCCCAAAGGAUUACUCCGUCGUAGUGUAUGUGUUACUUGACGAGCUUCGCCGUAACCAACGAAGUUGAAAACACCGACUCUGACCAGACAUUAGCGUGACGACCAUUCGCAUUGACAAGAAGGUUUUCACUGUCAAAUAAACACCAGUCAUUGACUUACCGAGAGAUAUUGAAGCUGAGAUGAGAAGAUGAAGGCUUGAACUUAGGCAAACCAUGGACAUGUACAGCUCAGUGUCGAAAGAAGCACUUAAUACAAAAGGACGGUUAGAAAUAUAGGUGUCAAGCAGGGAUAGUUGAUGAUGAGCAAGCUGCUCCGUCUAAAACUUUAUGACUCCCAUGUUUCUCUUGAAAAAUUAGCAUAAGCUGUGGAGAAUGUAAGAAGCUCGAAGAUUUGAGGAAGCUAGGAGUGCCGAGGCGACAGUCCUGGCUAUUCCAAAGAUGGAGAAGGCCAAGUCUAGAGCUACAAUGGAAGCAUGUGAGAAAGCGCAGAUGAUGGUGGAACUAGAAGGAAGCAAGCUGAAAUGAAAAAAAAAAAAGAAGAGAAUCGCACGAGAAAUACAGUGGUUUAAUUCUUUCGUACAUAACGAUGUCUGGUACAAAAGAUAAACUUGAUCACAACCCUAUUGCCAUUAGUCUUUCGCUUUCGUAUGUGUCCUGCUUAUGGGUAUUUGGUGUAUGAGUUCAUGGAAAAUGGAAAAUGGGAGCUUAGAGGAAAGGCUUUCAAAAUAAAUUA